GAGACACGCGCCAUUUUAUUUUCACUCAUAUUCAAAGUGGUGAGGAGAGAUGACUAUGGCGUGAUCAUCGUCGUAAAUCUCAAGAAAUCGAAAGUUUUUACCGAUAUACGAGUGAGCAACUUCAAUCGCCUGUAACGCGAAAACGCAGUGACGACCUUAAUUGACUGGACCAAAUCAACUUAUACUGACGUAAUCUGCAAUCUACCUCGAUGUGAAACUUGUGCAAAUCAUAUACCAAAUGCUUACAGCACCAAUGGAGAAGUUGUAUUAAGUUUUAGAAUCUAGCUGCUAAGGACAUCGAUUUAUAUUUGGCAGACUGUAGUCUCUAAUGUAUCUGUGAUAAGUACUCCGUGGCAUAUGUAACUGUUCCAAAUACUGAUGUUGGGAAAACUAUAGGACAUGGGCUUGUGAAAAAUAAAUUAGC
Pieris brassicae (large cabbage white) is the source of this 424-nucleotide long non-coding RNA. RefSeq lists it as uncharacterized. The transcript has 4 exons. The record is from RefSeq and is a predicted model, not a curated record. NCBI's taxonomy places the organism in Eukaryota, Metazoa, Arthropoda, Insecta, Lepidoptera, Pieridae.